GCUCGGGUGGCUCAGUCGGUUAAGCGUCUGACUUCGGCUCGGGUCAUGAUCUCACAGUCUGUGGGUUCGAGCCCCACGUCGGGCU
Molecule: transfer RNA, 85 nt
Filed under: Felis catus (domestic cat)
Lineage: Eukaryota; Metazoa; Chordata; Mammalia; Carnivora; Felidae
Rfam family: tRNA
About the family: Transfer RNA (tRNA) molecules are approximately 80 nucleotides in length. Their secondary structure includes four short double-helical elements and three loops (D, anti-codon, and T loops).
Source: Rfam by way of RNAcentral